GUACCGUGAGGGAAAGGUGAAAAGCACCCCGACAAGGGGAGUGAAAUAGUACCUGAAACUGGAUGCCUACAAACUGUCGGAGCCCGCAAGGGUGACGGCGUACCUUUUGUAUAAUGGGUCAGCGACUUAAUUUAUGUAGCGAGCUUAACCGAAUAGGGGAGGCGCAGGGAAACCGAGUCUUAAUAGGGCGACUAGUUGCAUGGAUUAGACCCGAAACCUGGCGAUCUAUCCAUGGUCAGGGUGAAGGUGAGGUAACACUUACUGGAGGCCCGAACUCACGUAUGUUGAAAAAUGCGGAGAUGAACUGUGGAUCGGAGUGAAAGGCUAAUCAAGCCAGGAGAUAGCUGGUUCUCCUCGAAAGCUAUUUAGGUAGCGCCUCGUAUCUCACUCUCGGGGGUAGAGCACUGUUUGGGCUAGGGGGUCAUCCCGACUUACCAACCCUUUGCAAACUCCGAAUACCCAUGAGUGCUAUCCGGGAGACACACGGCGGGUGCUAACGUCCGUCGUG
RNAcentral lists this ribosomal RNA (508 nucleotides) under Thalassiosira minuscula. RNAcentral describes it as "partial Bacterial large subunit ribosomal RNA". It matches the Rfam family "Bacterial large subunit ribosomal RNA", at positions 498 to 1012 of the family's 2925-position model. The record is from RNAcentral. Lineage: Eukaryota; Bacillariophyta; Thalassiosirophyceae; Thalassiosirales; Thalassiosiraceae.